UACGUAGGUGGCAAGCGUUGUUCGGAUUCAUUGGGCGUAAAGGGUGCGUAGGCGGUCGUGCAAGUCGGAUGUGAAAUCUCAGGGCUCAACCCUGAAACUGCAUUCGAUACUGCGUGGCUAGAGUGCUGGAGAGGAGACUGGAAUUUACGGUGUAGCAGUGAAAUGCGUAGAUAUCGUAAGGAAGACCAGUGGCGAAGGCGGAUCUCUGGACAGUUCCUGACACUGAGGCACGAAGGCCAGGGGAGCAAACGGG
This 253-nucleotide ribosomal RNA is filed under the name uncultured bacterium. Its description in RNAcentral is "partial 16S ribosomal RNA". It matches the Rfam family "Bacterial small subunit ribosomal RNA", at positions 524 to 776 of the family's 1533-position model. The record is from RNAcentral.